RNAcentral lists this transfer RNA (73 nucleotides) under Danionella translucida. It matches the Rfam family "tRNA". Rfam says of the family: Transfer RNA (tRNA) molecules are approximately 80 nucleotides in length. Their secondary structure includes four short double-helical elements and three loops (D, anti-codon, and T loops). The record is from Rfam by way of RNAcentral. Lineage: Eukaryota; Metazoa; Chordata; Actinopteri; Cypriniformes; Danionidae. RNAcentral also lists the same sequence under 1 other name.
GUUUCCGUAGUGUAGUGGUCAUCACGUUUGCCUAACAUGCAAAAGGUCCCCAGUUCGAAACUGGGCGGAAACA